RNAcentral lists this non-coding RNA (45 nucleotides) under Schistosoma haematobium. The record is from RNAcentral. Lineage: Eukaryota; Metazoa; Platyhelminthes; Trematoda; Strigeidida; Schistosomatidae.
AUCCAGCUGACGAGUCACAAACAGGACGAAACUAAUGUCCUGAAU